UACGGAGGGUACAAGCGUUGUUCGGAAUUACUGGGCGUAAAGCGCACGUAGGCGGGUUCGUAAGUCGAUUGUGAAAGCCCCGGGCUCAAUCCGGGAAUUGCAGUCGAAACUACGAGUCUUGAAUACCUGAGAGGGUGACGGAAUUCCUGGUGUAGAAGUGAAAUUCGUAGAUAUCAGGAGGAACACCGGAGGCGAAGGCGGUUGCCUGGCAGUGUAUUGACGCUGAGGUGCGAAAGCGUGGGGAGCAAACAGG
Molecule: ribosomal RNA, 253 nt
Filed under: uncultured bacterium
Lineage: Bacteria
Description: partial 16S ribosomal RNA
Rfam family: Bacterial small subunit ribosomal RNA
Source: RNAcentral